Long non-coding RNA from Suricata suricatta (meerkat), 611 nucleotides. RefSeq lists it as uncharacterized. The record is from RefSeq and is a predicted model, not a curated record. The transcript is spliced from 3 exons. Lineage: Eukaryota; Metazoa; Chordata; Mammalia; Carnivora; Herpestidae.
GAGGAAGCCGAAGAGCACGCGCAGGAAGUCCUGGACGUUGCCCACGUGUUGCAGAAUGCCCAGCAGGGCCUGGUCGUACAGCUCUGCCGCCCCGGGCUCCAUGGCGUCGCCGGCCGGAGGGACGCUGCUCACUGCGGGCGCGGCCAGGACGCCGGCCCACGGCCACUUCCGGCACGCUGCGGUAACGGCUCCGCCACCCGGCGCGACUUCCGGUCCGCGCUCGCUCGCCUCCCCCGCGACCGGGCGGGGCUGAGAGGCAGCGGAGCGUCCCCACCGCGGCCCCGACCCCGCCUCCCGGGCGGCUCUCCCGGGCGGCCUUGGUGAGGGGCGGACGUAGGCCCCGAAGUGGCUGCUAGGCGCGGGCAGGCCCGGGGCGGUGGAACCGAGAGCGCCCAACAGCCAUGUUACAAGCGGGCGGAAGAGGAGGUGGAACGUAACUCCCCACUCCCUAAGUGUAGGCUGCGCAGAGUGACUGCCCUCCAAAAUGCACAGCAUGGACAGCAUGAAAAGAGGCAGAGGGUAAUCGUACCGAAGAGACGCCAGACAGACACAACCUUGACCAGGAACCCAACUGAGCAGUACCAGCAGGAAUAAAAGUUGCUUUCUGGAAA